Regulatory RNA element from Cronobacter sakazakii ATCC BAA-894, 166 nucleotides. It matches the Rfam family "rncO". Rfam says of the family: This family represents a bacterial regulatory element (rncO) found in the rnc leader sequence. The rnc operon is negatively auto-regulated by transcript stability. rnc, the first gene in the operon codes for RNase III which cleaves the long rncO stem II leading to transcript degradation and a reduction in translation. Lineage: Bacteria; Pseudomonadati; Pseudomonadota; Gammaproteobacteria; Enterobacterales; Enterobacteriaceae. The record is from Rfam.
ACGAUUUCCGGCUGGCUCCCGCAAGGGAGCCACGGCACACGAAACAGCUUUGAACCCCAUCAGCCCUGUUCCGUGUGCUGAAUUUUUGACGCAUUCAUUAAUUGGUAUCGCAUGAACCCCAUCGUAAUUAAUCGGCUUCAGCGAAAGCUGGGCUACACUUUUCAUC